Molecule: transfer RNA, 71 nt
Filed under: Loxodonta africana (African savanna elephant)
Lineage: Eukaryota; Metazoa; Chordata; Mammalia; Proboscidea; Elephantidae
Rfam family: tRNA
About the family: Transfer RNA (tRNA) molecules are approximately 80 nucleotides in length.
Source: Rfam by way of RNAcentral
ACUGUGGUGGUUCAGUGGUAGAAUCCUCGCCUUCCAUGCGUGAAACCAAAGUUUGAUUCCUGGCCAAUGCA